Molecule: ribosomal RNA, 432 nt
Filed under: uncultured bacterium
Lineage: Bacteria
Description: partial 16S ribosomal RNA
Rfam family: Bacterial small subunit ribosomal RNA
Source: RNAcentral
AACGAACGCUGGCGGCAUGCCUAACACAUGCAAGUCGAACGAUGCCUUCGGGCAUAGUGGCGCACGGGUGCGUAACGCGGGGGAAUCUGCCUUUCGGUUCGGAAUAACUCAGGGAAACUUGAGCUAAUACCGGAUAACGUCGCAAGACCAAAGAUUUAUCACCGAAAGAUGAGCCCGCGUAGGAUUAGCGAGUUGGUGAGGUAAAGGCUCACCAAGGCGACGAUCCUUAGCUGGUCUGAGAGGAUGAUCAGCCACACUGGGACUGAGACACGGCCCAGACUCCUAGGGGCGGUAGCAGUGGGGAAUAUUGGACAAGGGGCGAAAGCCUGAUCCAGCAAUGCCGCGUGAGUGAUGAAGGCCUUAGGUUUGUAAAGCUCUUUUACCCGGGAAGAUAAUGCCGGUACCGGGAGAAUAAGCCCCGGCAACUUCCGU